CGCGCUGCGAAGGACGCCCUGCGGCUG
RNAcentral lists this small RNA (27 nucleotides) under Bombyx mori (domestic silkworm). RNAcentral's name for it is "ovarian small RNA-14392". Lineage: Eukaryota; Metazoa; Arthropoda; Insecta; Lepidoptera; Bombycidae. The record is from RNAcentral.